RNAcentral lists this ribosomal RNA (2923 nucleotides) under Campylobacter coli. RNAcentral's name for it is "23S ribosomal RNA". It matches the Rfam family "Bacterial large subunit ribosomal RNA". Lineage: Bacteria; Pseudomonadati; Campylobacterota; Epsilonproteobacteria; Campylobacterales; Campylobacteraceae. The record is from RNAcentral.
AAAAAAGGUAAGCUACUAAGAGCGAAUGGUGGAUGCCUUGACUGGUAAAGGCGAUGAAGGACGUACUAGACUGCGAUAAGCUACGGGGAGCUGUCAAGAAGCUUUGAUCCGUAGAUUUCCGAAUGGGGCAACCCAAUGUAUAGAGAUAUACAUUACCUAUAUAGGAGCGAACGAGGGGAAUUGAAACAUCUUAGUACCCUCAGGAAAAGAAAUCAAUAGAGAUUGCGUCAGUAGCGGCGAGCGAAAGCGUAAGAGGGCAAACCCAGUGCUUGCACUGGGGGUUGUAGGACUGCAAUGUGCAAGAGGUGAGUUUAGCAGAACAUUCUGGAAAGUAUAGCCAUAGAGGGUGAUAGUCCCGUAUGCGAAAAACAAACCUUAGCUAGCAGUAUCCUGAGUAGGGCGGGACACGAGAAAUCCUGUCUGAAGCUGGGUCGACCACGAUCCAACCCUAAAUACUAAUACCAGAUCGAUAGUGCACAAGUACCGUGAGGGAAAGGUGAAAAGAACUGAGGUGAUCAGAGUGAAAUAGAACCUGAAACCAUUUGCUUACAAUCAUUCAGAGCACUAUGUAGCAAUACAGUGUGAUGGACUGCCUUUUGCAUAAUGAGCCUGCGAGUUGUGGUGUCUGGCAAGGUUAAGCAAACGCGAAGCCGUAGCGAAAGCGAGUCUGAAUAGGGCGCUUAGUCAGAUGCUGCAGACCCGAAACGAAGUGAUCUAUCCAUGAGCAAGUUGAAGCUAGUGUAAGAACUAGUGGAGGACUGAACCCAUAGGCGUUGAAAAGCCCCGGGAUGACUUGUGGAUAGGGGUGAAAGGCCAAUCAAACUUCGUGAUAGCUGGUUCUCUCCGAAAUAUAUUUAGGUAUAGCGUUGUGUCGUAAUAUAAGGGGGUAGAGCACUGAAUGGGCUAGGGCAUACACCAAUGUACCAAACCCUAUCAAACUCCGAAUACCUUAUAUGUAAUCACAGCAGUCAGGCGGCGAGUGAUAAAAUCCGUCGUCAAGAGGGAAACAACCCAGACUACCAGCUAAGGUCCCUAAAUCUUACUUAAGUGGAAAACGAUGUGAAGUUACUUAAACAACCAGGAGGUUGGCUUAGAAGCAGCCAUCCUUUAAAGAAAGCGUAAUAGCUCACUGGUCUAGUGAUUUUGCGCGGAAAAUAUAACGGGGCUAAAGUAAGUACCGAAGCUGUAGACUUGAUUUUAUCAAGUGGUAGGAGAGCGUUCUAUUUGCGUCGAAGGUAUACCGGUAAGGAGUGCUGGAGCGAAUAGAAGUGAGCAUGCAGGCAUGAGUAGCGAUAAUUAAUGUGAGAAUCAUUAACGCCGUAAACCCAAGGUUUCCUACGCGAUGCUCGUCAUCGUAGGGUUAGUCGGGUCCUAAGUCGAGUCCGAAAGGGGUAGACGAUGGCAAAUUGGUUAAUAUUCCAAUACCAACAUUAGUGUGCGAUGGAAGGACGCUUAGGGCUAAGGGGGCUAGCGGAUGGAAGUGCUAGUCUAAGGUCGUAGGAGGUUAUACAGGCAAAUCCGUAUAACAAUACUCCGAGAACUGAAAGGCUUUUUGAAGUCUUCGGAUGGAUAGAAGAACCCCUGAUGCCGUCGAGCCAAGAAAAGUUUCUAAGUUUAGCUAAUGUUGCCCGUACCGUAAACCGACACAGGUGGGUGGGAUGAGUAUUCUAAGGCGCGUGGAAGAACUCUCUUUAAGGAACUCUGCAAAAUAGCACCGUAUCUUCGGUAUAAGGUGUGGUUAGCUUUGUAUUAGGAUUUACUCCGAAAGCGAAGAAACUUACAACAAAGAGUCCCUCCCGACUGUUUACCAAAAACACAGCACUCUGCUAACUCGUAAGAGGAUGUAUAGGGUGUGACGCCUGCCCGGUGCUCGAAGGUUAAUUGAUGGGGUUAGCAUUAGCGAAGCUCUUGAUCGAAGCCCGAGUAAACGGCGGCCGUAACUAUAACGGUCCUAAGGUAGCGAAAUUCCUUGUCGGUUAAAUACCGACCUGCAUGAAUGGCGUAACGAGAUGGGAGCUGUCUCAAAGAGGGAUCCAGUGAAAUUGUAGUGGAGGUGAAAAUUCCUCCUACCCGCGGCAAGACGGAAAGACCCCGUGGACCUUUACUACAGCUUGACACUGCUAUUUGGAUAAGAAUGUGCAGGAUAGGUGGGAGGCUUUGAGUAUAUGACGCCAGUUGUAUAUGAGCCAUUGUUGAGAUACCACUCUUUCUUAUUUGGGUAGCUAACCAGCUUGAGUUAUCCUCAAGUGGGACAAUGUCUGGUGGGUAGUUUGACUGGGGCGGUCGCCUCCCAAAUAAUAACGGAGGCUUACAAAGGUUGGCUCAGAACGGUUGGAAAUCGUUCGUAGAGUAUAAAGGUAUAAGCCAGCUUAACUGCAAGACAUACAAGUCAAGCAGAGACGAAAGUCGGUCUUAGUGAUCCGGUGGUUCUGUGUGGAAGGGCCAUCGCUCAAAGGAUAAAAGGUACCCCGGGGAUAACAGGCUGAUCUCCCCCAAGAGCUCACAUCGACGGGGAGGUUUGGCACCUCGAUGUCGGCUCAUCGCAUCCUGGGGCUGGAGCAGGUCCCAAGGGUAUGGCUGUUCGCCAUUUAAAGCGGUACGCGAGCUGGGUUCAGAACGUCGUGAGACAGUUCGGUCCCUAUCUGCCGUGGGCGUAAGAAGAUUGAAGAGAUUUGACCCUAGUACGAGAGGACCGGGUUGAACAAACCACUGGUGUAGCUGUUGUUCUGCCAAGAGCAUCGCAGCGUAGCUAAGUUUGGAAAGGAUAAACGCUGAAAGCAUCUAAGCGUGAAGCCAACUCUAAGAUGAAUCUUCUCUAAGCUCUCUAGAAGACUACUAGUUUGAUAGGCUGGGUGUGUAAUGGAUGAAAGUCCUUUAGCUGACCAGUACUAAUAGAGCGUUUGGCUUAUCUUUAAUAAAGCAU